UGUCUUUAAUGUAUAUGAGAAGCAGUUGUCGCUAUAGUGGAUUUCCCCAUUCUGUUCAUUGUAUACAGACUUAAAUAUAAUGCUUGACAAAGAGAAUAUCCCUGCUAAUUCAUUUGGACUGUGUAAUUGGGCAGGUGAACUCGCCACGGUAUGUGGAAUGUGACACCUGAUUCUGACGCACCCAAUACCUGACAUCAACUUGUCACUCACGAUCACCCUUUUUUUAAACUGAGUUUACAUGUUUAAUGAAACAUUUGCUUAUGGCAGUUGCUGACUUUUGAAAGAAUGGGGAAGUUUACUGCAUUUAUGAUGAACUUGGAUGUGGGCCAUAUACCUAAAACGGUAAGAACAGGGACGAGAAACACCACAGAGAUCACAAACAGGUCAAAGAGUAGAUGAAGAAAAAAAAAUAGAUAACUCCUAUCUUAAAAAAUCCAGCUUAGCAAUUCUCUUUUAUUCUCUCCGCAGAGGUGAAGGCACAGUGAAAGGUCAUGAAGUUUCAUAAGUUCCUAACGUGCCCUAAGAAUAAAGUCAAAUAAAAUAAGAGUGACAUGAAGGUUAUUAAUCAGGGGAAGCUACACUGGAACAAAUGGAUCUUCAGAUGCAGAUUAUAAAGAGAACAGGGUGAUUCAACAUUGAUCCAUUAACACACACACACCCAUGGACACAUCUGUGCCUGGCUAAAGGUAAUCACUGUGGAGGAUAAAGUAAGCUCAAGAGUAAUACUUUUUAUUAAUAAUGUU
Carassius gibelio (silver crucian carp) is the source of this 743-nucleotide long non-coding RNA. RefSeq lists it as uncharacterized. The record is from RefSeq and is a predicted model, not a curated record. Lineage: Eukaryota; Metazoa; Chordata; Actinopteri; Cypriniformes; Cyprinidae. The transcript has 3 exons.